UACAGAGGUCCCGAGCGUUGUUCGGAUUCACUGGGCGUAAAGGGUGCGUAGGUGGUGAGGUAAGUCGGAUGUGAAAUCUCCAGGCUCAACCUGGAAACUGCAUUGGAAACUACCUUGCUGGAGGAUUUGAGGGGGGAUUGGAAUACUUGGUGUAGCAGUGAAAUGCGUAGAUAUCAAGUGGAACACCAGUGGCGAAGGCGGGACUCUGGGCCGAUACUGACGCUGAGGAGCGAAAGCGUGGGGAGCGAACAGG
Molecule: ribosomal RNA, 253 nt
Filed under: uncultured bacterium
Lineage: Bacteria
Description: partial 16S ribosomal RNA
Rfam family: Bacterial small subunit ribosomal RNA
Source: RNAcentral